GACGAACGCUGGCGGCGUGCUUAACACAUGCAAGUCGAACGGAAAGGCCCUGCUUGCAGGGUACUCGAGUGGCGAACGGGUGAGUAACACGUGGGUGAUCUGCCCUGCACUUCGGGAUAAGCCUGGGAAACUGGGUCUAAUACCGGAUAGGAGCCAUUUUUAGUGUGAUGGUUGGAAAGUUUUUUCGGUGUAGGAUGAGCUCGCGGCCUAUCUGCUUGUUGGUGGGGUAAUGGCCUACCAAGGCGGCGACGGGUAGCCAGCCUGAGAGGGUGGACGGCCACAUUGGGACUGAGAUACGGCCCAGACUCCUACGGGAGGCAGCAGUGGGGAAUAUUGCACAAUGGGCGCAAGCCUGAUGCAGCGACGCCGCGUGGGGGAUGACGGCCUUCGGGUUGUAAACUCCUUUCGCUAGGGACGAAGCUUUUUGUGACGGUACCUAGAUAAGAAGCACCGGCUAACUACGU
Molecule: ribosomal RNA, 464 nt
Filed under: uncultured bacterium
Lineage: Bacteria
Description: partial 16S ribosomal RNA
Rfam family: Bacterial small subunit ribosomal RNA
Source: RNAcentral